UACGUAGGGUGCGAGCGUUAAUCGGAAUUACUGGGCGUAAAGCGUGCGCAGGCGGUUCGUUGUGUCGGUGGUGAAAGCCCCGGGCUUAACCUGGGAAUGGCAUUGGAAACUGGCUCGCUGGAGUGCGGCAGAGGGGGAUGGAAUUCCGCGUGUAGCAGUGAAAUGCGUAGAUAUGCGGAGGAACACCGAUGGCGAAGGCAAUCCCCUGGGCCUGCACUGACGCUCAUGCACGAAAGCGUGGGGAGCGAACAGG
RNAcentral lists this ribosomal RNA (253 nucleotides) under uncultured bacterium. RNAcentral describes it as "partial 16S ribosomal RNA". It matches the Rfam family "Bacterial small subunit ribosomal RNA", at positions 524 to 776 of the family's 1533-position model. The record is from RNAcentral.